Molecule: ribosomal RNA, 305 nt
Filed under: uncultured bacterium
Lineage: Bacteria
Description: partial 16S ribosomal RNA
Rfam family: Bacterial small subunit ribosomal RNA
Source: RNAcentral
ACAGCAGUAGCCGCGGUAAUACGGAGGGAGCUAGCGUUGUUCGGAAUUACUGGGCGUAAAGCGCGCGUAGGCGGUUACUCAAGUCAGAGGUGAAAGCCCGGGGCUCAACCCCGGAACUGCCUUUGAUACUGGGUGUCUUGAGUUCGGGAGAGGUGAGUGGAACUGCGAGUGUAGAGGUGAAAUUCGUAGAUAUUCGCAAGAACACCAGUGGCGAAGGCGGCUCACUGGCCCGAUACUGACGCUGAGGUGCGAAAGCGUGGGGAGCAAACAGGAUUAGAUACCCCCGUAGUCCCUGUCUCUUAUAA